UACGGAGGGUGCAAGCGUUAAUCGGAAUUACUGGGCGUAAAGCGUGCGUAGGCGGAAUUUUAAGUCUGAUGUGAAAUCCCCGGGCUUAACCUGGGAACUGCAUUGGAUACUGGGAUUCUAGAGUAUGGUAGAGGGUGGCGGAAUUUCUGGUGUAGCGGUGAAAUGCGUAGAUAUCAGAAAGAACACCAAUGGCGAAGGCAGCCACCUGGGCCAAUACUGACGCUGAGGUACGAAAGCGUGGGGAGCAAACAGG
Molecule: ribosomal RNA, 253 nt
Filed under: uncultured prokaryote
Description: partial 16S ribosomal RNA
Rfam family: Bacterial small subunit ribosomal RNA
Source: RNAcentral